Myxocyprinus asiaticus (Chinese sucker) is the source of this 5131-nucleotide long non-coding RNA. RefSeq lists it as uncharacterized. NCBI's taxonomy places the organism in Eukaryota, Metazoa, Chordata, Actinopteri, Cypriniformes, Catostomidae. The record is from RefSeq and is a predicted model, not a curated record. The transcript is spliced from 3 exons.
CAGAUAACACACGCUUUGUUUACACACGUAUAUAACAAGUGUAAUGCGUAUAGUAUCAGCUACACGUAUGUAACCUGUAUGUACCUGCAUGUUGUCCUGGGUGUUUCCUGAUGUUUGACCAUAACGUCUAGUGAGGAGGAAUUACCGCAGAUAACACAUUCAGAUGGCAGCUAUUUACUGUCAGACGCUUGAGCUUGUGUUCAUGGUGUGGAGUUCAACUGAACCCUUUUCUCAGAAAGCUGACGGGGAAGCUGAGGCGAUUCUGUGUGUGUGUGUGUGUGUGUGUGUCUGUCUGUCUGUCUGUCUGUGUGUGUGAGUGUGUCUGUCUGUGUAUCUGUCUGUCUGUCUGUGUGAGUGUGUCUGUCUGUGUAUCUGUCUGUCUGUCUGUGUGAGUGUGUCUGUGAGUGUGUGUGAGAGUGUGUCUGUCUGUCUGUCUGUCUGUGUGAGUGUGUCUGUCUGUCUGUGUGAGUGUGUCUGUGUGUGUGUGUGUGUCUGUAUGUGUGUGUGUGUCUGUCUGUCUGUCUGUGUGAGUGUGUCUGUCUGUCUGUGUGAGUGUGUGUGUGUGUGUGUGUGUCUGUAUGUGUGUGUGUGUCUGUCUGUCUGUCUGUGUGAGUGUGUCUGUGUUUGUGUGUGUGUGUGUGUGUGUGUGUGUCUGUAUGUGUGUGUGUGUCUGUCUGUCUGUCUGUGUGAGUGUGUCUGUCUGUCUGUCUGUGUGAGUGUGUCUGUGUUUGUGUGUGUGUGUCUGUAUGUGUGUGUGUGUCUGUCUGUCUGUCUGUGUGUGUGUGUGUGUGUGUGUGUGUGUGUAUCUGUGUGUGUGUGUGUGUAUCUGUGUGUGAGUGUGUGUGUGUGUGUGUGUGUGUGUGUGUGUGUGUGUGGGCAGGUUUAAGUGGUUUACGAGGACUUUUUUUUAGGUUAUAAACUGGUAAUUACAAGGGUAUUAUGCUAUAAAUGUGGUUUAUGAGGACAUUUCUAGUGUCCCCAUAAUUCAAAUCACUUAAUAAACAUACUAAACGAUGUUUUAUUGAAAAUGUAAAAAUGCAGAAAGUUUUUUGUGAGGGUUAGGUUUAAGGGCAGGGUUAGGGUUAGGGGAUAGAAUCUAUAGUUUGUACAGUAUGAAAAUCAUUAUGUCUAUGGAGAGUCCUCAUAAUGAUAGCUGAACCAACAUGAGUGUGUGUGUGUGUGAGUGAGAGAGAGUGUGUGUAUGUGUGUGUGUGUGUGUAUGAGUGUGUUUGUGAGUGUGUGUGAGUGAGAGAGAGAGAGAGAGAGAGAGAGAGAGAGCGUGUGUGUGUGUGUGUGUGUGUGUGUGUGUGUGUGUGUGUGUGUGUGUGUGUGUGUGUGUGAUAUUACUACCAUCACUCGUUUUGCUAACAUUAGUGCUCAUGAGAAAGUACAGAGAUGAUUUGUGUCUAAAAUUAGAACCCGUUCUUUAUGAAGCCCUCAGGACAUUAAUGGGGAAAUGAAGAAAACAGCCAUGUCUGAUGGUGAAAUCACACACUCUGGAUAUGCAGAAGCCGCUGGUUGUAUUGAUUGGCCCGUGGCCAUGGAGACGCUGUUGUGAUGCAGAAGAUGCGUUUGAUAGACGCCCACUCGCCUUUAACUGAAGAUCUUCAACAGCAAUCGUGUCGAGAUGAAACAGGCAGAUGCUUGUGGUGGCAUUAGGUGCCAUUCUGUGUAUUGAAGUAAAAUUUGUAAGUCGUGCCAAUUUCUCCAGUGGGUAAUACUGUAGUUUGUAAGAGCUUUUCCUAAUGAGAGCCGUCAGUCUUCUGCGUUGUGGGAACAGGGUGAGAUUUGAUGCUGGCCUGAUGAAAAUCUCUUGUGUAUGAGCUGAAGGUGAUGGAUGAAAUGAGGCCUACACCGCUGAGUGUCUAAUCCUCUGAAUUACUGCUGGUGAAUCGUCAUCUAUUUGCAUUCUACAAAUUCACAAAAGUGCAUUUAUGUCAUGAGCAUUUCCUGCGUCUGUCUGAGCUUCAGGCAAACUCACAGCACAUUUGAGGCAAAGAUAAUAAAAAAAAGCUUCAUUUGAUUAGCCACAACAUUCUGCUGGCUUACAGGCAAACACACUUCAAAUUAGAGAGGACUUCUGGUUCUGUACAUUCUGAGCCUCUUUGAUACAUAAGCUACUAUAAAUGUAAUGUAUGUAUUGUUCUCUCACUGUGAAGGUUUUCUCAGCAGUUUUUCUCUUCUUCUGUGACUAUAAUAAUUGUACAUCACGUCACACGGGUCAUAAUGAUACAGCUGUCAUCCUGGUGUUUGUGGGUUUGUCUGUGUUUGUUUGGGUGCCUGUUACCAGGUUAAAAUAUAUGUUGCAAACUUGCAAUAGCAAGAAUUUGCAGAAGACUCAUAAUUACUGUCAAAGUAACGUAAUUUUUCACAACACUGUCAAUGACAAGUUUACUCAAAGAGAGCACACUUUUAGCAUUUUUUUGGCAUAACCACGCACCCUUUAGAGGUCUCCGGUCUGCAGAUAUACCUACUUGGUUUGUCUCAGGCAAGUGAUUGCUGUGCUAGUUUCAUGUCUCUCGUGUCACUCCAUACUCUUUAUUCCCACAUCAACAAAUCAUUUACACUCAAAUGUCCGUAAUAUUUAAUGUCCAUUUUUUUAUUUGCAUGGUAGUUGUGUAAUAAUCGGGAUACAGUUAGACUGUACAUGAUCACUUACAUAGCGUGUAGAGGUGGUGUGGUGUCGCAGCUAAAGCUCGAAUCAAUAUUUCAUAUCUAUUUAUUGAUUUGUAUCGGGGUCUUGAUCAACCAGUCAGGGUUUAUUUUCUCUGACUGUACAUUACUGUUAGUGAGUUGGCAGGGCCGGAUUAAGACUCCAGCGUGCCCCUGGGCAUGAAUUUAUGUACACGUCACUGGACUUCCUGUUCCUGUUGCUGACGGCAUGCUGCACGAGUGUUUGUAGCCUGCUUAGCAUUGCUUAUUCUUAUUCUCAUACGUUCGUCUUUUUAACCUUUGUCAUUUUACCACGUGUUUAGGGUUUUUCCACUUUUCUACAGUUUCAUCUGUGUGUAUUGUACCUGUUGCUGCUGGCGUCUAGCUCGAGUCUGUGUUUGUAGCCUGCUAGUUUUUUUUUAGCAUCGCUUAUCUAUCUAUUUUCAGCCUUUUAAUCCUUAACAUCUGCCAUUUUUCAGCACGCAUCAGGUUUUCCCCUGCCUUAUUUUCUUCAACUGCAUGCAUUUCCCACGUGCAUCCGCUUUCUAUAUUUAUCACGAUUAAACUGCGCGCAUUUUACAGCGCGCACCCAUUUUUCUCCUCUGUGUUACACGGAUUAUUGCAUCGAUCUCAAAGCACCGCUUAUCAAGAACAACCAUAACAACAAACAAUUGCGUGAGGGAUUCUCAUCGAUCUCAAACCCUUACCACUCAGGAACAACCAACAACAACAACAAACAACUGCGAUCCAGCUCCGUUCCUGCUUGGUGUCGGACUCCACUGCUACGUAUCACUGUGUGAUGACGACUAAUAGUAGCCGGUGCUAGCCAAACAUCACUUCAGUCUUUUACAGUGGACUUCAGAGGAUGAACUGAUGCCAACUCCAACUGUAAGACAUGGGAUACUUCAUAUGCCACUGCCUGAACCUUGGACUUAGGAUGGACCUCACCGAACCUCACCGAAAUGACCUGCCGGUUGAACUGCGAUACACCUCAUUGAUCUCUGCCUGCAUCACCUUUGUCUAAUGAUGGACGACACUCUUAUAAUGGAAUACAUAGACUAUCAAUUAAUUGCCAAUAAAAGCCUUCAUCAGCCGACUAACAAAGGACAAUGCUUCUAUGUGAACUUCUGCAGUUAAUCCAGAAUGAACUUCAAAGACAUUAGUCAUUAAUCUUACAGUUCAUACAGUUUAAACACGGGCCCUUAACACUUACUUAGUUUACUAAUCUUGAACCAUGACCUGCACUGCACAUAAAUAACUAAUAUUGUCAUUAUAUUCAUGAUGUUUAGUCAGAGGGGAACUGACCCCCACAGUGAGUCUGGUUUCUCUCAAGGUUAUUUUUCUCCAUUAAUCAACAUCUUAUGGAGUUUUGUGUUCCUUGCCACAGUCGCCUUCAGCUUGCUCACUGGAGUUAUAAAUGCAAUUAUUAUUUCAUCAUUUAAUUACUUAUUUUUAAACAGAAUUCACAAUCAUAUUUUAUCAAACUACACAAUGAUGACUCUAAGACAUUAUAGAUAUUACAGUUUUAUCUUCUGUUAAUGUAUGAUCUUCUGUAAAGCUGCUUUGAAACGAUGUGUGUUGUGAAAGGCGCUAUACAAAUAAAAAUUACUUGAGAUGUAGUAAAACCGAAUCCUCCAUUCAUCUACAUUUAAAUCUAAGAAUAUUUUAUUUCUCAUUGGAGAUUAUUUUACGCUGGAUAGUAAUUUUAAUAAAAACAGAUAAAUUCAAGGAUUCAUGCCUGUGAAUGUAAAUCCGCUUCAGCAGAAUCUAUAAAAGUAUUCAUAAAAUCCUCAUCCAGUAAGAAUAAAUGUCUGUGAUUGGUCCAUACUAUUCAGCGCUGAGAAAAGGAACAUGUACCAUGCGACAGCACCAUCUAUGUGCCGUUUUGAUAGCGGUCCGGACCUCUGGAUAAUCAGUUACACCUGAAUAAUGAUACUCAAAAACUUUAACAAACAUUAAAUUGGGGGUCUGGGUAGCUCAGCAAGUACUGACGCUGACUCCCACCCCUGGAGUCACGAGUUUGAAUCCAGGGUGUGCUGAGUGACUCCAGCCAGGUCUCCUAAGCAACCAAAUUGGCCCGGUUGCUAGGGAGGGUAGAGUCACAUGGGGUAACCUCCUCGUGGUCGUGAUUAGUGGUUCUCGCUCUCAAUGGGGCGUGUGGUGAGUUGUGUGUGGAUCGUGGAGAGUAGCAUGAGCCUCCACAUGCUGUGAGUCUCCGCGGUGUCAUGCACAACGAGUCACGUGAUAAGAUGCACGGAUUGACGGUCUCAGAAGCGGAGGCAACUGAGACUUGUCCUCCACCACCCGGAUUGAGGCGAGUAACUGCACCACCACGAGGACCUACUAAGUAGUGGGAAUUGGGCAUUCCAAAUUGGGAGAAAAGGGGAUAAAAAAAAAAAAAAAAAAAAAACAAAACAAACAAACAUCAAAUUAAAAAUGGACCUUUUUUUUUUACAAAUGCCAUCGUGUGGUGCCCCAC